AAUUCAAGGAGAGGGGACGGUUAGUGGGGAAUGGUAUUUACCAGCCCGUCCUGCGAGCAUGCCGUGCUGUGCUUGCACAGGGCCCGGUGCUGAUCGGCGUCUUCCCUGUCCACGAGGAACUAGGCCUCAUGCGGUGCUGAGUGUGUAGAAGGCUCCCGCAGACUGAAGAAAACCCACUUAGAGGGAACCUGAACCUUGAACAUUGGCGAAGGAGUGGAAUGGAACUAACGCCUACCUGCGUAGCGGUUCUCAAGCUUGGCUGCCUGCUGGAAUCACCUGGAAAUCUCAAAAGUACUCAUGUCUGGGCCCCACCCAGAGACACUGCCUUAGUUGGUCUGGGGUGUGCUUGAGCAACACGAGCUCUCAAAGCCUCUCCAAGUGAUUCUCUCGGGCAGCCAAGGCCAAGAAACCCCUUGGGCUGGAUUGCUCAGGAUUCUUUUACCACGGAACCGCUGCUUUGGGUUCUCUUCCGUGAGACUCGGGAGUAACCAGAUUUCAUGAGUAGAUUUUUAUUCUGUCCUAAAAGCACAUUGGAAAUGUCAGGUUUCCCCUACAGUGAGACUGAGGUGAUAUUUUGAGUUUAGUUUUAAAAACUUUUGAAUUAAUGCUGACUGUUUAAGGUAAAUAACAUGUUUGUAAUAAUAAAAGGUUUACUGAAAAUACAUAGGAAAGCAUAUAGAAAAAAACUUUAAAAAUUGGGUAGACAUCACCGUGUAGGUUGAGUAGAAGUAAUUUUUAUAUAUCAAGAAGGGUUCGCACACAUACUUAUGUUGAAACCAAUAAUCAUCCUCGGGAUGUCAUUUUUAGGAAAACAGCCUAUCUCUCGGGAUCCUAAACUAGCUGUGUAAGGGCAAGAUAAAGGUGAAAACAGGGAUGGGUUGGAAUUUGCCCAGUAGGUGCCCAGAGGCUGGCUGCGGCCCGCGGGGGUGGACUCCAUGCUGUUGCUCUCACCCAGCCCCUGGCGCUGGCCUGGAGGGCCUUUUGUCUCGUUGUUUUUUCAGCUCUUACUUGGGUUAUUUCAUUCAUGCUGUUCAUUUGUGCUGAUUCCUAAGGGGACAAAGCCUCUAGGCCUUUUACUGUAAGCUUCAGCGUUUGAAGUAAUGUUCCUGUGAAUGACAUUGGUCUGUGACUGAGUUAGUAGGUCUGUGUGUUGUUAAAGGCUGGACUUUCAACUUUGACGUCCCUAGAGCACCUGCCAAUUGGGGCAGAAAGAUCUAGUUGGAAACACCAUAAAGACUUUCUGUAAAUGUCAGCUUUUCUCCCCUGCUCCUGGUCUCCCCAUACGUAGUGUGGGGGUUAUGCUGGGGAUGGGUGACAGGAAAAGGCCCUAAUCCAACGUGUUUCAAAGAAAAGUGAGUUGAAAAAGCAUCUUAAACACAGCCUCAUGAACUAGCUUAUGAUUAAUGAUCAGUCAACCCCACUUGUCUGUCUGAUUUGGGGGUAUGUCUAGGAACAAAUGGAUGAAGACAUUCUGGAUUUUGUAAAUGUUUCUCAUCUGGUUUUAAAAAAUACCAUGAAAGUUGGAAAAUCCCAGGGUGUGAACAUGCUGUGGGCUUUAUUGAGAGUGCCGUGCCUGGACCCCUGAAGUAUACCAGGGUUAAUGCGUAAGUGUGGCUUCGGAAGCAAAGUAACGUGAAGUCCCUUGGUUAUGUACUGGCCAUGACUAUACGUUGCUGUAUUUAGGUGGUAAAUGGCUGACUCCAUUACACCCACCCUGCACACUCCCUCUCUGCCCUGACAAAACUUUUUGUCACGAAGCUUCUCAGUCCCUUAGGCACAAUGGCAAAAGGUGCUUGGACCCCGCUAUGGACAGAUGCUGUCUCUUGGGGGCCAGGGUGGGGGUGACACCCUGGUAGAGUCUCUCGGUAAUGCCAUGUGGUCUGAGUGGUGUUCUCUACCAGCAUGUCACCCCCUCCCCUUGCCAAGGGAGGAAAAGUGAUGCAGGUGGACCUGAGUCCUCUGGCCACAGUCACUGGUUUAAAAAGGGGCACAUGCCCAGGCAGGGCCAAGCAGCUUUAGACAGCUCAAUAGAUAAUGCAUAACUCACUAGUUUAUAGAAGAACAGUUGGAUAAAAAUCAUGCUUCUGGAAGUUGGAGUACAUUAAGGUUACCUGCUCAGAUGGCUAAACCUUUUUAUUAAUAUUUGUGGAGAAGACACGAUUUUUCAUUUGCCUUAGUUCCAGAUAGACUCCACCCACCCUCCCUCUUUUUUUCCUUCUGAUAGGAAUUACCUCCCUAAAGUUUGCAUUUCAAAGAGACACCCCCAUAAGAGUUCCUGGAGAGAGCGGGUAGAACAGUUCUCUCUCAGAUGCACAGGGAAAGAAUGCAAGUUUCCCCAAGAAGGACUUUGGUUUCCUAAAUCCAGAUCUUUUACAAUAUCUGCAAGUCUUUUGAGAUGAACAGAGGAGAUUUGGGGAUUGAUAAAAAGGACACGUGGGCUUUGAGUGCUGCAUUUCUGUUCUCAUAAAGACUAGAUUUGUAAGACAAGUACAGUUUUAAAUUCCUCAAGGAAUUAGGUUGCAACUUAAAAGACUAAAGCCAAAAUGAUCUUGAAAAUUUACUCAGCUGAAUUUUGUUUUUUUAACAGUUUGGUGGCAGUGAUGGAACCCAAAGGAGAUAGCUCACAGCUUCAUGGACAACAAGAAACACAGGCUCUGGUACUUAUGAACCCUCCGAGGUCCCUUUCUCGCCAUUUCCGAGGCCAUGGAAACAUCUCUCACAAGUUAAGUCAAUGCUGAACAAGAAUACAACCUGACGUCUGAUCUCCUUAUGACCUACUUCUGUAGAAUAUGUCACUGGAAAACACAACUAAAGGACUCCGUUGUUAGAAAGGACUUUUCUUGGUACUGCUCUCCAGUUGCCGUCUAGCUAAACCUGAAGGCAUCUGACCCUGGGGUCACAGACCUGAACGGACCAGCAGUGCCACCGGUGGUCUCAAACUCAAGAUCUCCCAGAAGCUAGUUGUCGGACUGUAUUUCAGGCUGCUGGAUUCACCAUCUAGAGCUCUGUAUCUCCCAUGAUGUUGGAGACCCUUGGUCCUUCCUGUAAGUAGUUUUCCCUCCUGAUGCCACCAUAAACAAUAGAUUCCCUUUGAUGUCAGCUACAAACUUAAAUUUUUGCAGCCAGGCUUCCCAGUGCUUUUUUUCCUUUCUCUAAUCGGUUAGACACAAAUACCCAUGCAAACCAUAGUAUACCUGCACCCCUAUGUUCUGAUUAUCUAAAUCAGAUCUGCCCUGAUCAUGAAAAAAAAUCUCACCAGUCAUCUGCCUUUGCAAGGAAUUUAGAUUUACUUCCCACUGCACCAGAAACCUAACUUAACCCUGGUUUGAAUGGGCAGAUGCAACAAUCCAUGAAAAUCCAUCAGCAGUGUCACCUCAGCAGGAGUGGUUUGUGCCCUGACAGGAGUUAUCUCUGUGGUGGUGGUCAUACUCCUUGGGCCUAUGAAUGCCCCAGUGGCUGGCGCAGAACCAGGCAGUGCCUCUGCAGUUAUGAACUGUCCUAACUGUCCACAACCAAGCAGAGACGCCUCACUAGUCAGCUCCCCUGCAGUUCCCUUGUCAGGUUCAAGAGGACUCACCAGGAGGCGUUCUGGAUUCCCUUCGUUUGACAGAUCCCACCUUCUCUCGUUAGGAGUGAGAACGGAGGAGGCUGCGAUCAGACACCUCUUUACCCCUUGGAAACACUGCCGACUGUACUGCGAAGGUCACAGCUGCCCAGCACGGACCCCCGGACUCACUCGCUGAAGCUGUCCUGGACGGUAGGCUAGCCCUCGAUUAUCCCGCAGCUGAACAAGGCGGCGUCUGUCGUCAGCACCGCUUGUUGUACUUGGACUAACACUCUGGGAAAGUUAAGGGUCAGUUACAUCAAAUCCAACAACAAGCUCAUUGGGUACAAUAAGUCCUUUCUGACAUCUUGGAAUUUUGAUUUAUUCAGCUGGUUACCUACAGGACUGGGUUUAUGGAUUAGAUCUGUACUAUAAAUUGGUCUUUCCAGCCUUUUUGUUAUUUUCUUGUGAUUUUUAAAGUACUCAAUUGUUGUCUACUGAGGCUUGGUAAAAAUAAACCCACAGAUACCUCACAACACUGCAAGCAUCAGUAACACCUGUACAGUUGACACAGUCUCCCUGCCUUGAUCCUCCACUUUGACCCAUUAUAAGAAGUUGCUCAAAUGUGGCCUUAUAGUUGCUCCUAACCUCAAAAUCUUUCCUCACCCUGAAGAAAGAUGUCCAAUCAUAGCAUGGUUAAAGACAGACAGAAUGGAUGAAGUCCAUGCAGAAGAAACACACUGGGUUUCAGCACCCUCUCAUAGGGACUUGAUCAAAAAACUGUGGAACAACACAGAAAUGGAGUCACUUAUGUUAGGGACAAAAUGGAGACGGUGAAGACAGGCUCAUACAGGAAACCUAACCCAAUCUUACAGGAAUUUACAGCUCUUCUCAAAUCAGCAGAGGACACCAGCCAGUCUAACCACCAAGUCCAUUCAUGCCGUGUCUGGACUGCCUUGUUCCCUGAUCCAAAUGUGCAGUCUGGCUGUUGACAUUUCUCGUUUUUCAAAUAAGGCUAAUGAAAUCCUCUUGCCAUUUCCCUCCUCCAUGAGACGAGACACCUGAGGAUGGUCCUUCUCUGCUCUGAGGGACAUGUAGUCCAUCUAACAACGUCUUUGAUCAAGAAAAAAAAAAAUCAAAAGGAAGGAGGAAAACAACGCCUAAAUGACAUGGUUCGUUAGUGAUGUUUUCUGCAAAAGGUCUUGAUCAAGAGAGGAAAUGUGAAAGGAUUUCAGUCUAGAAUGGAACCGGAGGCUGUGAAAUAGAGAAUCACACAUGCGCUCUCAGAAGAACAGAACUUAGAACUGAGACCAGUUUCCCGUAAAUGCUGAUUACCAGACCACUGAGACUUAUCUCCAGACCAGUGAGCGUCUACCAAGAAUCUAAUCUCUCCAUCCUCAAGCUAAUGAACUUACUGCUUGGACUCUGGCUGGACGUCCCCCUCAUUUUCACUCCCUCCCCGUAACUACAGCCUGCCCCAAAUCCUCAAAGGGCUCGCAUGUAGCUCGCUAUAGCGUGCAUUUCCAGAACUGCAAUUGUUCUUCUAUUCGCAAAUAAACUCAAUUUCUGUUAAUUUGA
Long non-coding RNA from Pteropus alecto (black flying fox), 5122 nucleotides. RefSeq lists it as uncharacterized. NCBI's taxonomy places the organism in Eukaryota, Metazoa, Chordata, Mammalia, Chiroptera, Pteropodidae. The record is from RefSeq and is a predicted model, not a curated record. The transcript has 2 exons.